This 899-nucleotide ribosomal RNA is filed under the name uncultured bacterium. RNAcentral describes it as "bacterial SSU rRNA". It matches the Rfam family "Bacterial small subunit ribosomal RNA", at positions 9 to 898 of the family's 1533-position model. The record is from RNAcentral.
GAGUUUGAUCCUGGCUCAGGAUGAACGCUAGCUACAGGCUUAACACAUGCAAGUCGAGGGGAAACGACAUCGAAAGCUUGCUUUUGAUGGGCGUCGACCGGCGCACGGGUGAGUAACGCGUAUCCAACCUGCCCACCACUUGGGGAUAACCUUGCGAAAGUAAGACUAAUACCCAAUGAUAUCUCUAGAAGACAUCUGAAAGAGAUUAAAGAUUUAUCGGUGAUGGAUGGGGAUGCGUCUGAUUAGCUUGUUGGCGGGGUAACGGCCCACCAAGGCGACGAUCAGUAGGGGUUCUGAGAGGAAGGUCCCCCACAUUGGAACUGAGACACGGUCCAAACUCCUACGGGAGGCAGCAGUGAGGAAUAUUGGUCAAUGGGCGAGAGCCUGAACCAGCCAAGUAGCGUGCAGGAUGACGGCCCUAUGGGUUGUAAACUGCUUUUAUAAGGGAAUAAAGUGAGUCUCGUGAGACUUUUUGCAUGUACCUUAUGAAUAAGGACCGGCUAAUUCCGUGCCAGCAGCCGCGGUAAUACGGAAGGUCCGGGCGUUAUCCGGAUUUAUUGGGUUUAAAGGGAGCGUAGGCCGGAGAUUAAGCGUGUUGUGAAAUGUAGACGCUCAACGUCUGCACUGCAGCGCGAACUGGUUUCCUUGAGUACGCACAAAGUGGGCGGAAUUCGUGGUGUAGCGGUGAAAUGCUUAGAUAUCACGAAGAACUCCGAUUGCGAAGGCAGCUCACUGGAGCGCAACUGACGCUGAAGCUCGAAAGUGCGGGUAUCGAACAGGAUUAGAUACCCUGGUAGUCCGCACGGUAAACGAUGGAUGCCCGCUGUUGGUCUGAAUAGGUCAGCGGCCAAGCGAAAGCAUUAAGCAUCCCACCUGGGGAGUACGCCGGCAACGGUGAA